UGUCCCUGGCCAUGGCGCAUCAAAGUUUAUUCCCCUGGUAGUUCUGGAAUCUCAAUCCGAACACCCAGGAAUAAAUUCCACUCUGCUCAAACCAGAAAGAGUGGAUUCUGGUGUCUGCGACUAAUCACUGCGACUGGAUACAAAUUCAGAUUCUGAAAUCACCUCUAUUGUGUUUUCUCGUGUGGAAGAAAUACAGAAAAGCUUAAGAAAAACAAGUAUAAAUCAUCUGCAAUCCCACCACCUGGAGCCUGUGGUGGUGUCUGCAUAUAUAAAGAAGUAGUCACCUCUUCCAGUAUUUAUGGACAGGAUUUGGGAAGAAAAGACCUUCAUCAGACAGCCUGCCUAAAGAUUCUGGAUAUCUCUCAAACCUUUUCUAUGGACCACUCCACUUCCACUACAUUCUGGGGAGCUGCUCUCCGAUGAUCCAAGCCAUACCAAUUUCCUCAGUGCUCUAAUGUGCCAAGUGUGACUGAUGUUGGAUUUUGUGGUCCACUGGGGUGCUGAUACCUUCAACUGAACUCCAGAGCUCUCACAAAGUAACGGAUCGAAGGCUGGACAUGUGACCUGGGCCCAGCAAACCCAUGCCAGGACUUGCCACAGAACUUUUGUGAACGAGAACCUCUAUUCCCUUGGGGAGCUGUUGGGGCUACCACCCGCAACAAACUGACUAGACAGUGAGGCCAACAUGGAAAGCAGAGGGCGAAGGUAGCUCCUGAUGACACAACGGCCUUCAAAUGCAUCAUCUCCUGGGAUCCGCGGAGGGACAGGUGGCCGGGUCAAGGUCACACGGGCUACUGAGGCACAGCAGACCUGCGGACAAAGGUCUUCCUACUACAACCCCGGGUUUGACGCAUCACCAGAGGCAGGUUUCCUCAGGAGCCACGGAGGCUGAAGCCGCAGGGCCCUCACUUGUGUGACCCUUUCUUAGAUCUGACACGUAAUUCUGGGUUCUUUUUCUUAAAAAGUGCCACCCAAAAAUAUAUAAGUUCUACGCUCUAGGCCCACAAGGCAUGGAUCAGCCCCAAUCCCCAGCCACACCCGAGGCUGUUUUCCCAUUCCUUUCUCCCCAUCUUUCAAGAACCCCAAACCCACAGGGCGUUGUCACAGACUUGAAAUAGCUACUCAAAGCCUCUGCUGCCAGAACGUCUCUGCU
Molecule: long non-coding RNA, 1153 nt
Organism: Neofelis nebulosa (Clouded leopard)
Lineage: Eukaryota; Metazoa; Chordata; Mammalia; Carnivora; Felidae
Exons: 6
Source: RefSeq, a predicted model, not a curated record